RNAcentral lists this ribosomal RNA (467 nucleotides) under uncultured bacterium. RNAcentral's name for it is "partial 16S ribosomal RNA". It matches the Rfam family "Bacterial small subunit ribosomal RNA", at positions 28 to 506 of the family's 1533-position model. The record is from RNAcentral.
GACGAACGCUGGCGGCGUGCCUAACACAUGCAAGUCGAACGGAAAGGCCCUGCUUUUGUGGGGUGCUCGAGUGGCGAACGGGUGAGUAACACGUGAGUAACCUGCCCUUGACUUUGGGAUAACUUCAGGAAACUGGGGCUAAUACCGGAUAGGAGCUCCUGCUGCAUGGUGGGGGUUGGAAAGUUUCGGCGGUUGGGGAUGGACUCGCGGCUUAUCAGCUUGUUGGUGGGGUAGUGGCUUACCAAGGCUUUGACGGGUAGCCGGCCUGAGAGGGUGACCGGCCACAUUGGGACUGAGAGACGGCCCAGACUCCUACGGGAGGCAGCAGUGGGGAAUAUUGCACAAUGGGCGGAAGCCUGAUGCAGCAACGCCGCGUGCGGGAUGACGGCCUUCGGGUGGUAAACCGCUUUCGCCUGUGACGAAGCGUGAGUGACGGUAAUGGGUAAAGAAACACCGGCUAACUACGU